Molecule: ribosomal RNA, 305 nt
Filed under: uncultured bacterium
Lineage: Bacteria
Description: bacterial SSU rRNA
Rfam family: Bacterial small subunit ribosomal RNA
Source: RNAcentral
CCCUACGGGGCGCAGCAGUGGGGAAUAUUGGUCAAUGGGCGCGAGCCUGAACUAGCCAAGUCGCGUGAGGGAAGACGGUCCUAUGGAUUGUAAACCUCUUUUGUCGGGGAGCAAAAGACGCCACGCGUGGCGUUCCGAGAGUACCCGAAGAAAAAGCAUCGGCUAACUCCGUGCCAGCAGCCGCGGUAAUACGGAGGAUGCGAGCGUUAUCCGGAUUUAUUGGGUUUGAAGUGUGCGCAGGCGGAAGAUCAAGUCAGCGGUAAAAUUGAGAGGCUCAACCUCUUCGAGCCGUUGAAACUGGUUUU